UUAUAACGAAUGGUAAAACAGAAACAUAUUCUGUCUAUAUGAAUCUUCGUGUUCAAGCCCAGUGAUGCCAAUGCAAAACUUAUAGUUGCUCGUUUUUAUUGUAACCUAAAAAUAAAUCUUCCAAAUUAUUCAACUUUAUUAGAGAUAAUUUUCAAAUAAACAUUUAUUUGUCGAGAUACUUCAGAUUACUGCAUUCAAUGGCCAGAUUUCGGGGCUGGAGAAACUUUUCGUCAGGCUACACAAGGACAAAUCAGACCAGACAAACGGAUCUAGAAAAAUUAUAUUUGUAUCAGCGUAGAUUUUGUUACAAUCAAACAAUUAUUUAGUAAAGAAAUAUAAUUUAUUAUGUCAUUCAA
Molecule: long non-coding RNA, 356 nt
Organism: Venturia canescens
Lineage: Eukaryota; Metazoa; Arthropoda; Insecta; Hymenoptera; Ichneumonidae
Exons: 3
Source: RefSeq, a predicted model, not a curated record